UGGUAUGAGAUGGACCCGCGUCUGAUUAGCUGGUUGGAGGGGUAACGGCCCACCAAGGCGACGAUCAGUAGCCGGCCUGAGAGGGUGAACGCCCACAUUGGGACUGAGACACGGACCAGACUCCUACGGGAGGCAGCAGUGGGGAAUAUUGCACAAUGGGGGAAACCCUGAUGCAGCGACGCCGCGUGAAGGAAGAAGUAUCUCGGUAUGUAAACUUCUAUCAGCAGGGAAGAAAAUGACGGUACCUGACUAAGAAGCCCCGGCUAACUACGUGCCAGCAGCCGCGGUAAUACGUAGGGGGCAAGCGUUAUCCGGAUUUACUGGGUGUAAAGGGAGCGUAGACGGAAGAGCAAGUCUGAUGUGAAAGGCUGGGGCUUAACCCCAGGACUGCAUUGGAAACUGUUUUUCUAGAGUGCCGGAGAGGUAAGCGGAAUUCCUAGUGUAGCGGUGAAAUGCGUAGAUAUUAGGAGGAACACCAGUGGCGAAGGCGGCUUACUGGACGGUAACUGACGUUGAGGCUCGAAAGCGUGGGGAGCAAACAGGAUUAGA
This 549-nucleotide ribosomal RNA is filed under the name uncultured bacterium. RNAcentral's name for it is "bacterial SSU rRNA". It matches the Rfam family "Bacterial small subunit ribosomal RNA", at positions 216 to 782 of the family's 1533-position model. The record is from RNAcentral.